CUUAACUUUUCAUGCUCAGCCAAAUAUGUUCCCAUUAAUUGAAAUAUGGAGAGAGUAUGUAUGUAUGUAUGUGUGUGUACACACCGUAAAUUCUCAAAUUGGCAUGAACAAAUUGAUGAGCAAAUUCACACAUAAAUCUAUCCACAUUUCAAUUCCGAGAAGAUGGUUGCCUCAAGACUUAUUUUUGUUCUUCUCCACUUAGAAAUUUUAAGCUCUCUUUACUUGAUCAAGACAUUGGUAAUAUGCCUUUGGCCUUCUUCUAUCCUAAACAUAUAGAGGGCAGUAGCGCUUUCAGCUUCUUUCAAACAUCUCUCGAGUUGUUGAGACUUCUUUAGCAAGAACUUUGACCUCUUACUAACCACCAUUAGCUUGAAGACUAAGGGAAAUACCUUCAUUGACUCUAAUGACAAGGGAGUUAAUUUUUUGAAUGUUCGAUUCGAUUGUCCCAUGUCUGAAGUUGUCAAUAAUGAAGUCAUUUGUAAGAGAUGAUAUAUAUGUGAGCGAAUAAUGACAAUUCCUACAUAUAUCUCAACAAAUAAUUACAUAAGAAAUGUAAACACUGGAAACAACAGUUCAUCAACAAACAGUUCUCCAUGCUAUCCAGGCAAAAAAAAAAAAGUUCUACUAAUCCAAGAUACAACGAGAAAUUAACCUUUAAUGUGUAACCAAGUAGAAGUUCUAAUAACUCUUUAAAUUAUCAAUUGCUUCUGUAGGAAUUUAGAUAGAGUUGAUAGAAAGGGACUCUUCAAGACAGUGGAAAAGAUGGAGAACCAGGAGUAGAUCCAAGUGAUUAUUUUUCUGCAAAUGGAAAUGGAAUAUGUAUAUUUAUAUUUUACAGAAAGUGCAACAUAAUAUACCAUUAAAUAAAAAGAUGCAUUCUAUUGUAAUGAUUGGAUGCAUCACUUCAUGCAGAUGUGUCCUAAAGAUAGAAAAGACUGCCAUAGCGAAACUUCUGAAUCGCUCUAAAAAUGUAAUUUGAACUUCACGCUAAUGGCGCGAAAGAUAAGGCCGGAAGUUUGAACGGAUCAACAUUUCAAACUUUAGGCCAGUGGACUGAAGUCCAAUUCUUGUAAUUCGAAGAAGAUAAAAGAUAUAUAGAUAUGAGUUCAGAAUAAAUUAGCUACCGAAGUGAAGCAUGGCUGAUACCUCCAAUGAAGUUGGAAUGCUUCCUUCAUGAUUGCAUAGUUAUAAAUAUAGAAUAUUAAAAGCAAUUUGUCGCUCAUACCACAAGGCCAAAAAAAGAAAAUCAUUAAAACAUACGAGGUUUACCAAUCAAUUAGUACUCCAUCAUCAUUUAUUAAUGGCAGGGAUUAUAGUGUGCUACAGAGAUAUAUUACUGUAUGUAGAAAACACGAAGAUAUAUAUAUAUAUAUAUAUAUAUAUAUCAUGCAUUCCUCUCUUAAUUCCUUCUCUACAGACGUAACUCACGUCACUACAUGUCUCUCUUUUAGAUGUCAACAUUGUUAAAUCGCUUUAGAGCAACAUCUGCAGCAAAGAAACAUGGGAACCUAGCUAUAUAUAUGUAUUGCUGUAGGAACUAACAUUACAACAUCAUGCAGCUGGUGCCACCUUUGACGCAUCAUCAUCAUUGUCAUCGUCAUCGCCUUCACAUCCUCUGUAGACACAUAUACUUGAUCCUAACUUAGCCUCUGUAGCCAAAAACUUGGGGAAACCAAUUGAUACCUUCUUCUUGCUGGCACUCAUUAGAACAACCAUAUUGGUAGCGAAGGAGUAUUUUGAACUUACCCUAGCUUUGAGAUAUGAGCCUAUACACGUCAAAGUCAACUCAAGUUGUUGCAAAAUAUGGUUGAAUUCUCCUAUUUAUAGCUUAAAACGAAUGGCAUUUGCAAAAAAUUCUCUUCCAUGUCCACCACUUGUUGAGGUAUUUCGGGUAUACGUGUUGUAGUCUCUGACUUUGUUUUCUGAUAGUAAGAGAUUCGUUGUUUUUUGGAAUUGGAUCUCAACAAAUGGAGGAGAUCAAGGGUGUCAUGCGACACCACUUUGUUAAGAAUUUUCUUUUAUACGUGAAUAAACGCUAUUUUCUGAAAAAAAAAUUAUAUAUAUUGGUGUAUGUAUACAAUAGGUUGACAUCACAUAAAAAUAAUACAAAGUAAAUAUCAAUUUGUAUCAGGAACUAAAGACUCAAAUUAUCACCAUCUCUAACUCAAUUUUAAUUAUAAUGCAAACAAAAUUGUGAUAAUAGACCGACAAUCUUUUUAUGCAAAAUCCGACGUACGCCACUUAUUAUAAUGCAAAAUAUAAAGUUUAUCUUGAUGUGUAGGUCAGGAUGAAAGUGAAAAGAGAAAAAGGUAUCAGCCAUACAU
This 2324-nucleotide long non-coding RNA is filed under the name Nicotiana benthamiana. Its description in RNAcentral is "long non-coding RNA (NBEN_LNC023630)". Lineage: Eukaryota; Viridiplantae; Streptophyta; Magnoliopsida; Solanales; Solanaceae. The record is from RNAcentral.